Molecule: ribosomal RNA, 478 nt
Filed under: uncultured bacterium
Lineage: Bacteria
Description: partial 16S ribosomal RNA
Rfam family: Bacterial small subunit ribosomal RNA
Source: RNAcentral
GACGAACGCUGGCGGCGUGCUUAACACAUGCAAGUCGAACGGUAAGGCCCUUCGGGGUACACGAGUGGCGAACGGGUGAGUAACACGUGGGUGAUCUGCCCUGCACUUCGGGAUAAGCCUGGGAAACUGGGUCUCAUACCGGAUAGGACUCCUGGCUUCAUGGUUGGGCGUGGAAAGCUUGUGUGGUGUGGGAUGGGCCCGCGGGCUAUCAGCUUGUUGGUGGGGUAAUGGCCUACCAAGCCGAAGACGGGUAGCCGGCCUGAGUGGGUGACCGGUCACACUGGGACUGAGAUACGGCCCAGACUCCUACGGGAGGCAGCAGUGGGGAAUAUUGCACAGUGGGCGCAAGCCUGAUGCAGCGACGCCGCGUGAGGGAUGACGGCCCUCGGGUUGUAAACCUCUUUCAGCUAUGACGAAGCGCAAGUGACGGUAGUAGCAGAAGAAGGACCGGCCAACUACGUGCCAGCAGCCGCCGUAA